CAGCAGCCGCGGUAAUACGAAGGGUGCAAGCGUUAAUCGGAAUUACUGGGCGUAAAGCGUGCGUAGGCGGUUUGUUAAGUCUGUUGUGAAAUCCCCGGGCUCAACCUGGGAAUGGCAAUGGAUACUGGCAAGCUAGAGUGUGUCAGAGGAUGGUGGAAUUCCCGGUGUAGCGGUGAAAUGCGUAGAGAUCGGGAGGAACAUCAGUGGCGAAGGCGGCCAUCUGGGACAACACUGACGCUGAGGCACGAAAGCGUGGGGAGCAAACAGGAUUAGAGACCCCUGUAGUCCCUGUCUCUUAUAU
RNAcentral lists this ribosomal RNA (301 nucleotides) under uncultured bacterium. RNAcentral's name for it is "partial 16S ribosomal RNA". It matches the Rfam family "Bacterial small subunit ribosomal RNA", at positions 509 to 809 of the family's 1533-position model. The record is from RNAcentral.